Molecule: unclassified non-coding RNA, 569 nt
Filed under: Hevea brasiliensis (rubber tree)
Lineage: Eukaryota; Viridiplantae; Streptophyta; Magnoliopsida; Malpighiales; Euphorbiaceae
Source: RNAcentral
UAUUGAGAUGAAACCACUAUGCAUGCUACACCAUGUCAUCGUCUAACAGGAUAUUAUUUAUCAAUAAGAUAUUCACGAAAUCUCAGAAUUCUGCAUCGCCAUAAAAAAAUUGCAGAAUAUCAAAGUGAUUCAACUAGCCUUGCUACCAUUAACAAAUGCAGUUCCUGAAGUUGUUUCCAAUAGUAAGUAGAUCAUAUAAUUUAUAUUCACUUAUCAGAAGUUCUACCAAAUAUGAUUAUCAAACCCAACCAACCAUCUAAUUUGGGGUUGGAUGGCCAGCAGAAAAUCAUCCAUUUGCAUCAACUUCAUGCCCAACUCAAAGCAGCCACUUCUGCAUGGUCAUUAUUACCAUAAAAAAAUGGCCUUGACAUUUGGCUAGGGCCCAUAAUUCCACACAUUUACUCCCCCUAUUCAAUUGCCAAAGUGCCAUAAAAAAGUCCAUACGUUCAGUAUGAAAUUGGUUUUAAAAAGGAGGGGCAAAUCCUGACAAAUCCCUCUAUCUUCUUCUAUUUGGGGGAAACAAGGAUAAUCACAAGGAUCAUAACGUUAGAAGUAUUUGAAGACAAUGG